AACACGUGGGCAACCUGCCCUGAAGCGGGGGAUAACAUCUGGAAACAGGUGCUAAUACCGCAUAACAACGAAACCACAUGGUUUCGUUUCAAAGAUGGUUUCGGCUAUCACUUCAGGAUGGGCCCGCGGUGCAUUAGCUAGUUGGUAAGGUAACGGCUUACCAAGGCGAUGAUGCAUAGCCGAGUUGAGAGACUGAUCGGCCACAAUGGAACUGAGACACGGUCCAUACUCCUACGGGAGGCAGCAGGC
RNAcentral lists this ribosomal RNA (249 nucleotides) under uncultured Lactobacillus sp. RNAcentral describes it as "partial 16S ribosomal RNA". It matches the Rfam family "Bacterial small subunit ribosomal RNA", at positions 112 to 354 of the family's 1533-position model. Lineage: Bacteria; Bacillati; Bacillota; Bacilli; Lactobacillales; Lactobacillaceae. The record is from RNAcentral.